UGAUCCUGCCGGAGGCUACCGCUAUUGGAGUCGAUUAAGCCAUGCGAGUAGAAAGAAAUUAGAUUCUUUGCAUACUGCUCAGUAACACGUGGAUAACCUGCCCUACACUGGGGGAUAAUCUUGGGAAACUGAGGAUAAUACCCCAUAGACCACUACGCCUGGAACGGUGAGUGGUUGAAAGCUCCGGCGGUGUAGGAUGGGUCUGCGGCGUAUCAGGUCGUAGGGGGUGUAAUGGACCUCCUAGCCAUCGACGCGUACGGGUUGUGGGAGCAAUAGCCCGGAGACGGAUUCUGAGACACGAAUCCGGACCCUACGGGGUGCAGCAGGCGCGAAAACUUCACACUGCAGGAAACUGUGAUGAGGGAACUCCAAGUGACUGCACAAUGUGUAGCCUUUUCUUGAAUCUUAAUAGUUCUUGGAAUAAGGGCUGGGAAGGACCGGUGCCAGCCGCCGCGGUAAUACCGGCAGCUCAAGUGGUCGUCGCUUUUAUUGGGCCUAAAACGUCCGUAGCCUGUAUGGUAAAUCUGUGGGUAAAUCAACGAGCUUAACUCGUUGAAUUCUGCAGAGACUGACAGACUAGGGACCGCGAGAGGUAUGAGGUCUCUGGGGGUAGGGGUAAAAUCCUGUCAUCCUCAGAAG
Molecule: ribosomal RNA, 639 nt
Filed under: uncultured archaeon
Lineage: Archaea
Description: bacterial SSU rRNA
Rfam family: Archaeal small subunit ribosomal RNA
Source: RNAcentral